UGAGCAUAUCUAUUCAACAGAGGGUGUCUGUC
Molecule: non-coding RNA, 32 nt
Filed under: Rattus norvegicus (Norway rat)
Lineage: Eukaryota; Metazoa; Chordata; Mammalia; Rodentia; Muridae
Source: RNAcentral